RNAcentral lists this ribosomal RNA (872 nucleotides) under uncultured Flavobacterium sp. RNAcentral describes it as "bacterial SSU rRNA". It matches the Rfam family "Bacterial small subunit ribosomal RNA", at positions 1 to 875 of the family's 1533-position model. The record is from RNAcentral. Lineage: Bacteria; Pseudomonadati; Bacteroidota; Flavobacteriia; Flavobacteriales; Flavobacteriaceae.
AUUAGAGUUUGAUCCUGGCUCAGGAUGAACGCUAGCGGCAGGCUUAAUACAUGCAAGUCGUGGGGCAGCGCAGGUAGCAAUACUGGGCGGCGACCGGCAAACGGGUGCGGAACACGUACACAACCUUCCGAGAAGUGGGGAAUAGCCCAGAGAAAUUUGGAUUAAUACCCCGUAACAUAACGAUGUGGCAUCACAUUGUUAUUAUAGCUUCGGCGCUUCUUGAUGGGUGUGCGGCUGAUUAGAUAGUUGGCGGGGUAACGGCCCACCAAGUCUACGAUCAGUAGCUGAUGUGAGAGCAUGAUCAGCCACACGGGCACUGAGACACGGGCCCGACUCCUACGGGAGGCAGCAGUAAGGAAUAUUGGUCAAUGGACGCAAGUCUGAACCAGCCAUGCCGCGUGAAGGAUUAAGGUCCUCUGGAUUGUAAACUUCUUUUAUCUGGGACGAAAAAAGGCGAUUCUUCGUCACUUGACGGUACCAGAUGAAUAAGCACCGGCUAACUCCGUGCCAGCAGCCGCGGUAAUACGGAGGGUGCAAGCGUUAUCCGGAUUCACUGGGUUUAAAGGGUGCGUAGGCGGGCAGGUAAGUCAGUGGUGAAAUCCUAGAGCUUAACUCUAGAACUGCCAUUGAUACUAUCUGUCUUGAAUAUUGUGGAGGUAAGCGGAAUAUGUCAUGUAGCGGUGAAAUGCUUAGAUAUGACAUAGAACACCUAUUGCGAAGGCAGCUUACUACGCAUAUAUUGACGCUGAGGCACGAAAGCGUGGGGAUCAAACAGGAUUAGAUACCCUGGUAGUCCACGCCCUAAACGAUGAUUACUCGACAUUUGUGAUACACUAUAAGUGUCUGAGCGAAAGCAUUAAGUAAUCCACCUG